CCUACGGGAGGCAGCAGUAGGGAAUCUUUCACAAUGGGCGAAAGCCUGAUGGAGCAACGCCGCGUGCAGGAUGAAGGCCUUCGGGUUGUACACUGCUUUUAUAAGCGAGGAAUAUGAUGGUAACUUAUGAAUCAGGAUCGGCUAACUACGUGCCAGCAGCCGCGGUCAUACGUAGGAUCCGAGCAUUAUCCGGAGUGACUGGGUGUAAAGAGUUGCGUAGGUGGCAUAAUAAGUAGCUAGUGAAAUCUGGUGGCUCAACCAUUCAGACUAUUAGCUAAACUGUUAAGCUCGAGACCGUUAGGGGUAACUGGAAUUUCUAGUGUAGGAGUGAAAUCCGUAGAUAUUAGAAGGAACACCAAUAGCGUAGGCAGGUUGCUGGGACGGUUCUGACACUAAGGCACGAAAGCGUAGGGAGCAAACGGGAUUAGAUACCCUAGUAGUC
RNAcentral lists this ribosomal RNA (442 nucleotides) under uncultured bacterium. Its description in RNAcentral is "partial 16S ribosomal RNA". It matches the Rfam family "Bacterial small subunit ribosomal RNA", at positions 338 to 795 of the family's 1533-position model. The record is from RNAcentral.